CAUUUUUAAUAAAAUUUACAGUGGGCGAAGGAAUAAAAAAAAUUACAUAAAUUAGGUUGGCGUGGGCGUUAGCCUUCGUGGUGCCCCGUCAAUUGGCAAAUAAUGGACUCGUCUUAUUAUUAACUGAAACGCCUUUUGAUCUCGCAAGGCAAAUUACACGCUACAACGCCGCCUUAUGCAGCACUGAAACCGGACUUGGCGUUAUGCAGCACAUGCCAUGUAACACUCAACGCUGCCUAAGGGCCGAGGAGGGGAUUUAACUGUCGUCUGUGGCGUUUGCAAUUCACUUUGAUUAAAUAUGCACACCGCGGACAGAAAGAGAAAGACGGAGGGAGCAAGCAGCUCUAGUGCAGCGCAUUAAAAUGCCGCAACAAUGCGGCAGCAGGGACAGCUGCAAGUGGCUGUCGUUUUGCCGUAUCCUUAGACAAGUCAAAUAGUGAGAGUUGGACAAGAAAGCGCAAAACAAGUUUGGCGAAUUUUCGGCAACUGCAGCGUGUCCUCUGACAGGAUAUAAAACAAUCAGCGCAAGCUAGCGGAAACGGAAGUGUUGCUGCCACACCCCCUCGCCAGCAAUUGUGGGCGUAACGAAUUGCAGCUGCAGCAGCGACUGAAUGCGAGCUCCUUGUGGCUGUUGUGAAAUGUAGACCAAAUGCUGUCCCGUUCUGCUUCUGGGAGAUACCACAGCACAGGACUCACUCGUCUGCCGUUUGACUAUUGUCUGUUUUUCAGUUGCCGCCUGCCUGCAUCGGAUAUUCUUCGGCACAACAAAGCUGACAAUUGUAAAGAUAAGGAUUGGAUAUGAAGCCAAGGAAACGACUUGCUUUGCUGCUUGUGCAAUUGCCAAGGAUGAAUUGCGCCAAGCUUGCAGAACAAUUCGCUAGAGAACUUAGACUUGGAGAAAUUCAUCUGCUAUUCAAUCGGAUCCACAAAAUAAUUGUCCAGGUGUGCCCCAGCCGCCGGCUGCCGCAAUGCCUGCUUCUCCGCCCAGACCGUUGCCAGC
Molecule: long non-coding RNA, 1000 nt
Organism: Drosophila hydei
Lineage: Eukaryota; Metazoa; Arthropoda; Insecta; Diptera; Drosophilidae
Exons: 3
Source: RefSeq, a predicted model, not a curated record